RNAcentral lists this ribosomal RNA (451 nucleotides) under uncultured bacterium. Its description in RNAcentral is "bacterial SSU rRNA". It matches the Rfam family "Bacterial small subunit ribosomal RNA", at positions 354 to 796 of the family's 1533-position model. The record is from RNAcentral.
GUGGGGAAUUGUUCGCAAUGGGCGCAAGCCUGACGACGCAACGCCGCGUGGAGGAUGAAGAUUUUCGGAUCGUAAACUCCUGUCGAAUGGGACGAAUGGCCUGGCCGUGAACAACGGCCGGGAAUGACGGUACCGUGAGAGGAAGCCCCGGCUAACUCCGUGCCAGCAGCCGCGGUAAUACGGGGGGGGCAAGCGUUGUUCGGAAUUACUGGGCGUAAAGGGCUCGUAGGUGGCCACCUAAGUCCGACGUGAAAUCCCUCGGCUCAACCGGGGAACUGCGUCGGAUACUGGGUGGCUUGAAUCCGGGAGAGGGACGUGGAAUUCCAGGUGUAGCGGUGAAAUGCGUAGAUAUCUGGAGGAACACCGGUGGCGAAGGCGGCGUCCUGGACCGGUAUUGACACUGAGGAGCGAAAGCCAGGGGAGCAAACGGGAUUAGAUACCCGGGUAGUCC